UCGGCCACAUCACGUUGAAACACCACUUCCCGUAAGACCUAUGAAGUUAAGCAACGUCGAGCCUGAUCAGUACGUAGAUGGGCGAGCACUUGUUAAUACCAGGUGAUGUAAG
This is a non-coding RNA of Acanthosepion pharaonis, 112 nucleotides long. The record is from the annotation of a GenBank genome assembly. NCBI's taxonomy places the organism in Eukaryota, Metazoa, Mollusca, Cephalopoda, Sepiida, Sepiidae.